Molecule: ribosomal RNA, 253 nt
Filed under: uncultured bacterium
Lineage: Bacteria
Description: partial 16S ribosomal RNA
Rfam family: Bacterial small subunit ribosomal RNA
Source: RNAcentral
UACGUAGGUGGCAAGCGUUGUCCGGAAUCACUGGGCGUAAAGCGCGCGCAGGCGGCGAUCUACGUCUGGGGUGAAAGCCCGGAGCUCAACUCCGGGACUGCCUUGGAUGCGGGAUCGCUUGAGGAUUGGAGAGGCAAGGGGAAUUCCACGUGUAGCGGUGAAAUGCGUAGAUAUGUGGAGGAACACCUGUGGCGAAGGCGCCUUGCUGGCCAAUUUCUGACGCUGAGGCGCGAAAGCGUGGGGAGCAAACAGG